UUCCUUUCCAAGCCAUUCACUUCAUGACCUA
Molecule: non-coding RNA, 31 nt
Filed under: Homo sapiens (human)
Lineage: Eukaryota; Metazoa; Chordata; Mammalia; Primates; Hominidae
Source: RNAcentral